RNAcentral lists this ribosomal RNA (612 nucleotides) under uncultured Verrucomicrobiota bacterium. RNAcentral describes it as "bacterial SSU rRNA". It matches the Rfam family "Bacterial small subunit ribosomal RNA", at positions 77 to 680 of the family's 1533-position model. The record is from RNAcentral. Lineage: Bacteria; Pseudomonadati; Verrucomicrobiota.
UAGCAAUACUAGGUUGAGCCAGUGGCGAACGGGUGCGUAACACGUGAGUCAUCUGCCUGAAAGUGGGGGAUAGCUCGCCGAAAGGCGAAUUAAUACCGCAUGUGCCCCGAAGCAAUUCGGGGUAAAGCCGGGGCAACCUGGCGCUUUUAGAUGAGCUCGCGGCCUAUCAGCUUGUUGGUAGGGUAACGGCUUACCAAGGCUUCGACGGGUAGCUGGUCUGAGAGGACGACCAGCCACACUGGAACUGAGACACGGUCCAGACACCUACGGGUGGCAGCAGUCGAGAAUUUUUCUCAAUGGGGGAAACCCUGAAGGAGCGACGCCGCGUGGAGGAUGAAGGCUUUCGGGUUGUAAACUCCUGUCAUUUGGGAACAAUACCUUACGUUAACUGCGUGGAGGUUUGAUAGUACCAGAAGAGGAAGAGACGGCUAACUCUGUGCCAGCAGCCGCGGUAAUACAGAGGUCUCGAGCGUUGUUCGGAUUCAUUGGGCGUAAAGGGCGCGUAGGCUGCGGGGCAAGUCGGGUGUGAAAUCUCAGAGCUCAACUCUGAAACUGCACUCGAUACUGCUUUGCUAGAGGACUGGAGAGGAGAUUGGAAUUCACGGUGUAGCA